GUUGUAGUGUGCGCUCACUUGUCUGCGAGGGGUUCAUGAUGCACACUCAAGAAUCAUGGCCGCCCUGGGUCUGUUUCCCUAGAGGCAAAACUAGAGUCUUAGAAAACUGCCCGCUCUCUCCAGCGGGGUUAAACAAAGUGCUUCUGACUUUGACCUCAAGUGGUCCUGGCCAAUUCCAUACUAUUCAGCUUUCAUUCACACAGAGAGGGACCUGACCUGAAGCUUUCAGGCCUGGAAGUCACACAGGAAAGUCGGAGCCACGCUUCAUCUGAGCCUUCAAAGCUGUUCAGUGUGCUCAGAAAACAGGACAAGCAGCUCUUCUCCACUGUUUCUGAUGUUCCCAGGCUCAGCAGAUGCAAAAUGCCCCCUGGGGCCUUGUUUUCAAAGGGGAAUAAAGUGGGGGAGUAUUUUUAA
Cricetulus griseus (Chinese hamster) is the source of this 414-nucleotide non-coding RNA. The record is from RefSeq and is a predicted model, not a curated record. Lineage: Eukaryota; Metazoa; Chordata; Mammalia; Rodentia; Cricetidae.